Molecule: ribosomal RNA, 346 nt
Filed under: uncultured bacterium
Lineage: Bacteria
Description: partial 16S ribosomal RNA
Rfam family: Bacterial small subunit ribosomal RNA
Source: RNAcentral
CCUACGGGGUGCAGCAGUGAGGAAUAUUGGUCAAUGGACGCAAGUCUGAACCAGCCAUGCCGCGUGCAGGAAGACGGCUCUAUGAGUUGUAAACUGCUUUUGUACGAGGGUAAACGCAGAUACGUGUAGCUGGCUGAAAGUAUCGUACGAAUAAGGAUCGGCUAACUCCGUGCCAGCAGCCGCGGUAAUACGGAGGAUUCAAGCGUUAUCCGGAGUUAGUGGGGUUACAGGGUGCGUAGGCGGUCGGAUAAGUGAGAGGUGAAAUGCCGUCGCUCCACUUCGGAAUUGCCUCUUAUACUGUUCGUCUAUAGCGUAGUUGCGGUACGCGGCAUGUCUGGUGUAGCGG